AGUCUAGAUGUUUUUCAUAACAACUAAACGGCGAACGGCUCAUUAAAACAGUUAUAAUUUACUUGAUCGUAUUGUAAAGAAGAAUAACUACGGAAAAUCUGUUGCUAAACUUGUAAUAGGGUGUGACCCGAGAGGGUACUCAGCCAUUGGUUCAAUAUUAAUGGGGGGUUUCAUCGGAAUUAAUCAUAUAAUAACUUGAGUGUUAACGUAUAGAAUAAUGAGGUGGACACAUCCUGGAUUUGUUAUUAAUAGACUAUGUGGUUCCCUGGUUUGACAUAGCUAAACGAUGGAAUUUGUAACAAUGAUGUGACGCAUGCCUUUUUACCCCGGUGAAAAGAGAGUACGUGACUCAAUCAAGUUUCUGACCUAUCAGCUUUUGAUGUUAGGGUAUUGGCCUAACAUGGCGGUGACGGGUAACGGGGAAUUAGAGUUCGAUUCCGGAGAGGGAGCCUGAGAAACGGCUACCACAUCUAAGGAAGGCAGCAGGCGCGUAAAUUACCCAAUUCUAAAGAAGAGAGGUAGUGACAAGAAAUAAUGAAAUAAAGCCAUUUUUGGUUUUGUUAUUAGAAUGAUAGGAAUUUAAAUACUUCCUAAAAUUCAAUUGGAGGGCAAGUCUGGUGCCAGCAGCCGCGGUAAUUCCAGCUCCAAUAGCGUAUAUUAAAAUUGUUGCAGUUAAAACGCUCGUAGUUGAAUUUCAAAGAAUAUAGGUUGUUGAAAAGAUUUUAUAACCUAUACAGGUUUUUCGUUGAGACCUUGUGUCAUAUACGAUAACCAAAGUAAGGUUUUGAAUUACUUUUCUUCAAUAAAAUUUAUUCUUUUUUAAAAUCUUGCGUUGUUUCGACAAUUCGAGAUUUUGUUACUUUGAGUAAAUUAGAGUGUUCAAAGCAAACAUUUAAAGCAUUAUAUAUGUGUUUGAAUACUAUAGCAUGGAAUAACAUUAUUGAAUAUGUCAAAUUUCUUCAAUUUUUUCUAUUUUGGCUUAGUUACGAUUAAAAGGAGUAGUUUGGGGGCAUUUGUAUUCAGAUGUCAGAGGUGAAAUUCUUAGAUUUUCUGGAGACAAACAACUGCGAAAGCAUUUGCCUAAAAUACUUCCAUUAAUCAAGAACGAAAGUUAAGGGAGUGAAGACGAUCAGAUACCGUCGUAAUCUUAACCAUAAACCAUGCCGACUAGGUUUUGGAUGAAAGAUCUUAAAUUUAGAUAUAUGGGUUUAUCUCCUUCGGGAUUAAACUACUAUCUAAAAGUUGCUUCGUUCAGUACCUUAUGAGAAAUCAAAGUUUUUGGGUUCUGGGGCGAGUAUUCGCGCAAGCGAGAAAGUUAAAAGAAUUGACGGAAGGGCACCACCAGGCGUGGAGCUUGCGGCUUAAUUUGACUCAACACGGGAAAACUCACUAGUUUAAGACAAGAGUAGGAUUGACAGAUUAAUAGCUCUUUCUUGAUUUCUUGGAUGGUGAUGCAUGGCCGUUUUUAGUUCGUGAAUAUGAUUUGUCUGGUUAAUUCCGAUAACGAACGAGAUCUUAACCUGCUAAUUAGCGGUAAAUACACUGUAUUCGUGAGCAGGAUAGAAAUAUUGUUUUAGUUCGCUGUUUACUACUUAGGUAUGUGAGCUUGAACUAAACGAUUUUUUAUUUGGUUCAUGAAUGUAUUUAUUAUAUUAUAAUGCUUCUUAGAGGAACGAUGUGUGUUUAACACAAG
This 1693-nucleotide ribosomal RNA is filed under the name Hepatocystis sp. ex Callosciurus notatus HNH-2013. Its description in RNAcentral is "SSU rRNA". It matches the Rfam family "Eukaryotic small subunit ribosomal RNA", at positions 62 to 1439 of the family's 1831-position model. The record is from RNAcentral. Lineage: Eukaryota; Apicomplexa; Aconoidasida; Haemosporida; Plasmodiidae.